Molecule: ribosomal RNA, 494 nt
Filed under: uncultured bacterium
Lineage: Bacteria
Description: partial 16S ribosomal RNA
Rfam family: Bacterial small subunit ribosomal RNA
Source: RNAcentral
GACGAACGCUGGCGGCGUGCUUAACACAUGCAAGUCGAACGGAGAGGCCUGCUUUCCCUUGUGGAUUGCGGGUACUCGAGUGGCGAACGGGUGAGUAACACGUGAGUGAUCUGCCCCCAACUUGGGUAUAAGCCUGGGAAACUGGGUCUAAUUCCCGAUAGGACUGCAGGGUGGUGCCUGUGGUGGAAAACGAUUUUCUAGUGGUUGGGGAUGAGCUCGCGGCCUAUCAGCUUGUUGGUGGGGUAAUGGCCUACCAAGGCGGCGACGGGUAGCCGGCCUGAGAGGGUGGACGGCCACAUUGGGACUGAGAUACGGCCCAGACUCCUACGGGAGGCAGCAGUGGGGAAUAUUGCACAAUGGGCGGAAGCCUGAUGCAGCGACGCCGCGUGGGGGAUGACGGCCUUCGGGUUGUAAACUCCUUUCGACCGCGAGGAAGCCACCUGGCUGGAAGGGUGGUGACGGUAGUGGUAGAAGAAGCACCGGCUAACUACGUG